This 494-nucleotide ribosomal RNA is filed under the name uncultured bacterium. RNAcentral describes it as "partial 16S ribosomal RNA". It matches the Rfam family "Bacterial small subunit ribosomal RNA", at positions 28 to 507 of the family's 1533-position model. The record is from RNAcentral.
GACGAACGCUGGCGGCGCGCUUAACACAUGCAAGUCGAACGGAAAGGCCUGCUUUCCCUUGUGGAUUGCGGGUACUCGAGUGGCGAACGGGUGAGUAACACGUGAGUGAUCUGCCCCCAACUUGGGUAUAAGCCUGGGAAACUGGGUCUAAUUCCCGAUAGGACUGCAGGGUGGUGCCUGUUGUGGAAAACGAUUUUCUAGUGGUUGGGGAUGAGCUGGCGGCCUAUCAGCUUGGUGGUGGGGUAAUGGCCUACCAAGGCGGCGACGGGUAGCCGGCCUGGGAGGGUGGACGGAGAGAGUGGGACGGAGAAACGGCACAGACUCAUGCGGGAGGCAGCAGUGGGGAAUAGUGCACAAGGGGAGGGAGCAUGAGGCAGCGACGCGGCGUGGGGGAUGACGGGGUUGGGGUGGUAAACUCCUGUCGACAGCGAGGAAGCCACGGGGUUGGACGGGUGGUGACGGUAGUGGUAGAAGAAGCACCGGCUAACUACGUG